Non-coding RNA from Pogona vitticeps (central bearded dragon), 676 nucleotides. The record is from RefSeq and is a predicted model, not a curated record. NCBI's taxonomy places the organism in Eukaryota, Metazoa, Chordata, Lepidosauria, Squamata, Agamidae.
CUCCCACAGACUUCCAGGAGGGUCAUACUUCGGUCAAAGGCACCUUAGAGAAAGAAAGAAAGAAAAGAGAAACCUGCAGUGAGCCGGACUUGUCGUCUGUGAACAAAACUAGAGACAUCUGCAAAUCGGAUCUGUAUUUCCCCACUCCUUUAAAUGAUUAAAAAAAACCUUGAAGAAAUACUUCCAUAUGGAUGAAUCCAACCCUGACAGAGUCCCAAUUCACAGAGAGAGCUCCUCCACAUACAGGAGACUGGAGGAAGUGAUGAUGGUCUGGUGGUGGUGGAGAAGAGAGUUCUAGAGAACUCUUCUGAACAUAUGUUAUUCCCUUGGUAACCUUGGUAUGGCUUGACCAAGCCAAGGAGUGAGGAGAAGAUUAAUUGCCUAAGACAAGGGAGGAGCAACAGGGAGAAGAGGAUGCCAUUUAUAGUCAACAGACAUGUUGGGGAAACACUGCUGAAAAGAUGUAGAUUACUCUGGGCAAAACUCUGGAAGGAGAGAAGAAACCUAAGAAGAAAUUGGAUGUCUUGAUAUGACAAUGUACCUGACAGGAAAUUUUAAAGCUCUUCAUCUCCUAAGUAAAGGGGAAGUCAACAUCGCCUUGCAGAGGACACCGAUCGGACAUGACCCACGUUAUGCAAAAGUGGUGCCUUGACUCAUGAACGUCCCGACAUAUGAC